Molecule: small RNA, 81 nt
Filed under: Staphylococcus aureus
Lineage: Bacteria; Bacillati; Bacillota; Bacilli; Caryophanales; Staphylococcaceae
Description: HMPRFS0000_2615
Source: RNAcentral
AUUAAUGCAUGACUUACAACAAAUAGGCGUCAAGUAUGUCGAUGUUAGUGGCAAAGGUGGUACUAACUUUGUAGAUAUUGA